Molecule: long non-coding RNA, 966 nt
Organism: Oncorhynchus masou masou (cherry salmon)
Lineage: Eukaryota; Metazoa; Chordata; Actinopteri; Salmoniformes; Salmonidae
Exons: 4
Source: RefSeq, a predicted model, not a curated record
GCAUCUUGACACUACUGGGACCACUGGCGAGGACGCGUUCUCGCGUCGUUCUCUCUGCGCGCUCCCGUGCCACCUUCAUUUCAAGUAGCUGUAGUUUUCUCCGCAAUGCCCUGCUUUCAUUCUGGCUUUGAGUUAUUUCCAAACGAAACACUGCAUAGUCAUCGUCUACGAGUUUACAGAUAUCUGCCACUGCUGCAUUCGCUAGCACCUCCAUAAUGGAGGCUAUUUGAGUGUGAAAAACCAUAGGCCUACAGUUAGCCAUUGUUAGCAACUAGCUAGCGUUACCUUAAUAACAUCUAUCAACCAAGGCCUGUCUCCAAAGCGAAUUUAACACUGCCUGGGUCAAUAGAGAUGGAGAAUGGGAAGCAUGAUCUGUUGCUAGUCAAAGAGGAGAUAAGAGGACGGACCAGCGAACAUUGAUCUGCUGAAGAUGGAAGAGCAAGGUGGCUGGCUGGAGGCUAACAGAGGAGAGUGCGUAUCCAUCUUGGAUUCCAAGACCCUGAUGGGUGCAGCCAAGGGCCUAGGGGACGACAUCACAGAUCAGGCCAGGACCAGAGUCUGCAGUCCAUGAAGACUUGCUGACCUGUAUUCGGUGUUGCUGGUGGGAGAGACUGGACCUCUGAGGUGGCUGGUCACAAACCCUGUCCCCGGACCAGGACACUGGAUCAGGAGCCAUCUCUCUUCCUUCCCGAGUCGGACCUGGCACCGAACCACUAGGGACAGAGACUUCACCACCACACAGAUCACCACCAGUGGAGAGGUGGACUGAACAACCUCAGUCCUGGUGGUCAUCAGAGAGACAGAGGCUCCAGUCAUGGAUCCAGUCUGCAGCCCAGACCCUUCUCUUCACAGUCUCAGAGCAGGGAUGAAGCAGGACCUGGGGCUGAUAGAGACCCUCCUGUUCCUAUGAUACAAACACCACAGUAGGAGAAAACAGACUUCCUGAUAGACUACCACCAAGGGAGU